UGAUGAAAAAGGCAAACCCGUCAAAAGGCGGGGACGCAAAGCUACCUGUCUAACGGAUGUCAGCAUCCCAUGAUCGAGGGGCCGCCACA
This 89-nucleotide non-coding RNA is filed under the name Gammaproteobacteria bacterium. RNAcentral describes it as "c-di-GMP sequence". It matches the Rfam family "c-di-GMP-I riboswitch aptamer". Rfam says of the family: GEMM was predicted in a large-scale screen for bacterial structured RNA regulatory elements. The record is from RNAcentral. Lineage: Bacteria; Pseudomonadati; Pseudomonadota; Gammaproteobacteria.